ACGGAAGGCAGCAGUGGGGAAUAUUGCACAAUGGGCGCAUGCCUGAUGCAGCGAUGCCGCGUGAGGGAAGAAGGUUUUCGGAUUGUAAACCUCUGUCAACAGGGACGAAAAUGACGGUACCUGUGAAGGAAGCUCCGGCUAACUACGUGCCAGCAGCCGCGGUACUACGUAGGGAGCAAGCGUUAUCCGGAAUUACUGGGUGUAAAGGGAGUGUAGGCGGGACUGUAAGUCAGAUGUGAAAUAUGCCGGCUCAACUGGCAGACUGCAUUUGAAACUGCGGUUCUUGAGUGAAGUAGAGGUAAGCGGAAUUCCUAGUGUAGCGGUGAAAUGCGUAGAUAUUAGGAGGAACAUCAGUGGCGAAGGCGGCUUACUGGGCUUUAACUGACGCUGAGGCUCGAAAGCGUGGGGAGCAAACAGGAUUAGAUACCCUGGUA
RNAcentral lists this ribosomal RNA (434 nucleotides) under uncultured Ruminococcus sp. Its description in RNAcentral is "partial 16S ribosomal RNA". It matches the Rfam family "Bacterial small subunit ribosomal RNA", at positions 341 to 792 of the family's 1533-position model. The record is from RNAcentral. Lineage: Bacteria; Bacillati; Bacillota; Clostridia; Eubacteriales; Oscillospiraceae.